This 254-nucleotide ribosomal RNA is filed under the name uncultured bacterium. RNAcentral describes it as "partial 16S ribosomal RNA". It matches the Rfam family "Bacterial small subunit ribosomal RNA", at positions 524 to 776 of the family's 1533-position model. The record is from RNAcentral.
UACGUAGGCAGCAAGCGUUGUUCGGAGUUACUGGGCGUAAAGGGUGUGUAGGCGGUUCUUUUAAGUUUGCUGUGAAAUCUCCCGGCUUAACCGGGAGGGUGCGGUGAAUACUGAGGGACUAGAGUACGGGAGAGGAAAGUGGAAUUCCUGGUGUAGCGGUGAAAUGCGUAGAUAUCUGGAGGAACACCGGUGGCGAAGGCGGCAUCCUGGACCGACACUGACGCUGAGGCGCGAAAGCUAGGGUAGCAAACGGG